RNAcentral lists this ribosomal RNA (443 nucleotides) under uncultured bacterium. RNAcentral's name for it is "partial 16S ribosomal RNA". It matches the Rfam family "Bacterial small subunit ribosomal RNA", at positions 338 to 795 of the family's 1533-position model. The record is from RNAcentral.
UCUACGGGGGGCAGCAGUGGGGAAUAUUGGGCAAUGGGCGCAAGCCUGACCCAGCAACGCCGCGUGAAGGAAGAAGGCUUUCGGGUUGUAAACUUCUUUUCUCAGGGACGAAGAAAGUGACGGUACCUGAGGAAUAAGCCACGGCUAACUACGUGCCAGCAGCCGCGGUAAUACGUAGGUGGCAAGCGUUAUCCGGAUUUAUUGGGUGUAAAGGGCGUGUAGGCGGGAGCGCAAGUCAGAUGUGAAAACUCAGGGCUCAAUCAUGAGCUUGAAUUGGAAACUGUGUUUCGUGAGUGGUGGAGUGGCAAUCGGAAUGUCGUGUGUAGCGGUGAAAUGCGUAGAUAUACGGAGGAACACCAGUGGCGAAGGCGGAUUGCUGGACAGUAACUGACGCUGAGGCGCGAAAGCGUGGGGAGCAAACAGGAUUAGAUACCCUUGUAGUC